Molecule: long non-coding RNA, 3027 nt
Organism: Leopardus geoffroyi (Geoffroy's cat)
Lineage: Eukaryota; Metazoa; Chordata; Mammalia; Carnivora; Felidae
Exons: 3
Source: RefSeq, a predicted model, not a curated record
CUUUCUCUUUCUCAAAAAUAAACAUUAAAAAAAAUUUUUUUUAAAGGUACUGUGCAACCAUUAUAUUUGUAAAUUAUUUAGCACGUUUUUGUCACCUAGAAUAGCGUGCCAUACUACUCGAGGGGGCUAUCUGGCAAGUAAUACCAAGUUCCAGUGUUUGCUUCUUAGUAUUGAACUACAUUUGCAGUUCUGUCCUAGACACGUCGCACCAGUCGAAUCCAUUCGUGUGUCUUUUUGUUCACGUGCUCUGUACCACUGGUGAGUGCGCCUUGGUUACCUUACCUGCUGCCACAGAAAGUUCUUUUACAUCCUGAUGGCUAUUGCCAAGGCUACACGAAAGAAAAGCUAUAUUUGUAUGCAACCCUAACCCUUUGAUGGCUAACCUAGGUUCCUGAUUGCUGCGCCUUGUUCCAUCUGUGUUCUUAUGCUAAUAAAGUAUGUUUGGUGUUCUCCUUGUAAAACAACAAACGAGUCACAUGUUGUCCCUUCUGCCACAUUCUGUUCAUCGGAAUCCAGUCACUAAGUCCAGCACUUUUGAAGGAAGGAGUGCAAAGGAUUUGUGAACAUAUUUUAAAACCAUCAGUUCUGCCCUGACGCAUGAUCUGUAUGGACUUAUGCGAAGGUAUCCUUAGAAUAGAGUUCUAGAACUCAACGACUGGAUCAAGUGAUAUAUGCACUUUGAAUCUUGAUAAUUCCUGUUUGUGGCAGAAACCGUUCAUCGUCCUCCAAUAGCCAUUGUCUUUCUUUCUCUAUUUAGCACUGGACCUCCAGAGUUUUAGCUGGCACAGCUCGAGAAUGUACCUCCCAACCUCCAUUGCUGCUACGUGGAGAUGUGCGACGAAGUCCUGCCCAGUGAGAGGAACGGGUUGCUCAAAAAGCAAAUGACUCGUGGGUCACGUGAGUGGGGAAGGCCGAGGUGGAGUGACAGUGCCCUUCUAGUUCGCCCACCAGCCUCCCGCCGGAGCAGACAGGGAAUCCGUCGUGCCCGCGACUAUGCCCAUCUCAGAGUGCACGCUGUGUUCUUGCGGCCCGUGACGAUGAGGAAACCGAGAGCAGAGACCUUGACCCUUCUGUCCACUGUUGAACUCCAGCACCCAGAAUGGUAGGAAUUCAACACACUCGUCUGUUUAACGGCACCAUGAUGUGCUCUAAUGGGGAGCUCGGGGGCCAACAACCUCCCGGAUGAUGGCCCAGUGGGACCUGGGAAACGGACUGAGGCUCUGAUGCCAUUCAAGAGGUCUGCCCCUGCCUCCUGCCCUCUUUUCAUCCACGCUUAUUUUUCAAGGCCACUUAUAUGCAGCACUUUCACAAAGAGAGAAAUCAGAUUUAGGUUUGGCUCCCGAGUAGAUUAUAAUUACAAUUUAAAUCAGGGAUAACCUAUGCAGAAAAACCAUGGCAAAGUAACAAAAAUCACAAAGAGAAGCAAACAAUGUGCUGUAACAAUUUUCUCAUUUGUUCAUUCAUUCAUUCAUUCAUUCAUUCAUUUGUUCACUCACUCAAGGAGCAUUCAGUGGGUUCAGCCGUGGGAUGCAGAGAUGAGAGUGACUUAGGUCCCGCUUCCUGUGGGAGGAGGCAGUGAAGGGUAGCAAAGGCCUGGGGCCAGCAGCUGAGGAGAGCGGGCUCCAGGCCAGAGGCCUGCCCCCCACAUCUCUCUUCUCUCUGCUCUGAGGGGACCUUUCCCCAGAGCUGGUCCAGCCUAGAGUGCAGCCUAAAGGGUUCUGGUCUGCCGAGAAAAGCAAGUCAGUGGACCUUGUCCCAGGCCUUGGGGCUAGCUGACCCCUUUCUGUGUCCCUCUGUCCUCCCCCCUCCCUCUGUGAUAGCUGGCAGAGGGCUCCAGGCUCCUGGCCUGGCUGCACACUCAUGCACCUGCUCACUCACGCAGAGCCAUCUACAGACAGCCCGGCCUCUUCCCCCAUCUGCCCACGCAGCUUUGCGGGGUGAUUGAUGGGGCUGCUCUCGCUCUGGGUCCCAGAGAGCUCCUUUUGAAUAAUAACUUGGCAAAAUUACUCUCUUUUUUUUGCUCUCCCUAUUUCUGAUUCAUUUGUUCUUUCUAAGUCAUUCAUCUUUUUUGAGUCAGAGGAAGAAUGAGGAAGAGGAGGAGGAGGAGUCACAGGUGCGAGGGGCCAGGAGCCCCGCCUCCUCCUGUCACCGACUGCACCCGAGACAACGGCACCUCUCCCGCUAGGAUGUCUUUAUUACACCUGACCUCUGCCCGUGGGAGAAAAGCCAGUGUGGGAGGUAAGGGAGGUGGGGGAGGGAGGGGCCUUUCUGGACUGCUGAAGCCCCACCUUGAAGGCAGCCACCUACUCUAUUCACAUGCAAGGUCUCCUGACACGCUUGCGGGAAUGUUAGGGUUUUCUCACCCUCAAAGGGGAGCAGCAAAGAAGGUAGGAAGGAGAGAUGGGGGUUCAAGUGGGUCCUGUCAGCUUACCAACACCUUCACUGGUCACCUGCCAUGUGCCAAGCUCCAGAAAGACAGACGAACAGAUUCUAUUCCUGCCCCCAAGGGGUUCGCGGGCUAGUACACAGGUAAGCACAACACCUGCGGUACAUGGUCUAGUGGAAGUAAGUCCCGUGCAAGCAUAUGGAGGAGACUAUUUAUUCUGUGACAAGAGGGACCAGCAAGGCAGUCUUCACAGAUGGGCGGGUGAUGAGCUCUUCCGGAGCCUCAGUCUAAAGGUGGGGGAGGAUGCUCCAAUGGGGGGAGGAAAUAGCUUCUUUCUUUUACCAAAAAAUGUGCCCUUUGCUCCUCUGCCACACAGAAACUCACUGCCUAUUUCUCUUUAUUUUGUUUUCUCCAGCAGGCUGCACGCACGCAACUGGGAUGGUUCGAGUAUGGCCCCAAAUGUCCGCGGGCACGAUCAGGGAGCCUGUUUGGGGCCAUUUGCCGCAUGGCUACGGUUGGGAGGCUGGAAGUUUCCUUGAGAGUCAAGUCUCCUUCCAGCCAUCUCUGCCAUUCAGCUUGAGUAUUUUUCCCCCUGGGAAGGAUUUCCCCAUAAAAUAAAUGUCUCGUCUGAAUUAAUCUUA